Molecule: unclassified non-coding RNA, 227 nt
Filed under: Hevea brasiliensis (rubber tree)
Lineage: Eukaryota; Viridiplantae; Streptophyta; Magnoliopsida; Malpighiales; Euphorbiaceae
Source: RNAcentral
AAUGAGAUUUAUAGUGAAAUUUUCAAAAUUAAAUAAGAAUAAUUUAGUAAAAUAUUUUAUUAAACUAGCUUAUAAGUAUCAAAAUAAAAAGUUGAGUCCUCUAACUUAUUUUUUUUAGCUUAAAAAAUUAUUAUAAAUAAACAUGUCAAUAUAUUCUUAGAGCUGGAUAAAGUUUGAUAAUUAUUCCUGAAUUUAUCUAGUUAUAAUAUUACAGUCUCUCAACUUAA